CAGGACGAACGCUGGCGGCGUGCCUAAUACAUGCAAGUCGAACGGCUUUUCUAUGGAAGCUUGCUUCCACUGAGAAGAUAGUGGCGAACGGGUGAGUAACACGUGGGUAACCUGCCCAUAAGAGGGGGGAUAACAUCCGGAAACGGGUGCUAAUACCGCAUAGUUUUCUUGAUUGCAUGAUUGAGAAAGGAAAGACGGCCUUUGUGCUGUCGCUUAUGGAUGGACCCGCGGCGUAUUAGUUAGUUGGUGAGGUAACGGCUCACCAAGACGAUGAUACGUAGCCGACCUGAGAGGGUGAUCGGCCACAUUGGGACUGAGACACGGCCCAAACUCCUACGGGAGGCAGCAGUAGGGAAUCUUCCGCAAUGGACGAAAGUCUGACGGAGCAACGCCGCGUGAGUGAAAGAAGGUUUUCGGAUCGUAAAACUCUGUUGUCAGAGAAGAACAAGUUGGAGAGUAACUGCUCCAGCCUUGACGGUAUCUGACCAGAAAGCCACGGCUAACUACGUGCCAGCCGCGGC
RNAcentral lists this ribosomal RNA (521 nucleotides) under uncultured bacterium. Its description in RNAcentral is "bacterial SSU rRNA". It matches the Rfam family "Bacterial small subunit ribosomal RNA", at positions 25 to 518 of the family's 1533-position model. The record is from RNAcentral.